Molecule: ribosomal RNA, 18 nt
Filed under: Pichia kudriavzevii
Lineage: Eukaryota; Fungi; Ascomycota; Pichiomycetes; Pichiales; Pichiaceae
Description: partial 28S ribosomal RNA
Source: RNAcentral
UCGACCUCAAAUCAGUAG